UUAAGCGACUAAGCGUACACGGUGGAUGCCCUGGCAGUCAGAGGCGAUGAAGGACGUGCUAAUCUGCGAUAAGCGUCGGUAAGGUGAUAUGAACCGUUAUAACCGGCGAUUUCCGAAUGGGGAAACCCAGUGUGAUUCGUCACACUAUCAUUAACUGAAUCCAUAGGUUAAUGAGGCGAACCGGGGGAACUGAAACAUCUAAGUACCCCGAGGAAAAGAAAUCAACCGAGAUUCCCCCAGUAGCGGCGAGCGAACGGGGAGCAGCCCAGAGCCUGAAUCAGUGUGUGUGUUAGUGGAAGCGUCUGGAAAGGCGCGCGAUACAGGGUGACAGCCCCGUACACAAAAAUGCACAUGCUGUGAGCUCGAUGAGUAGGGCGGGACACGUGGUAUCCUGUCUGAAUAUGGGGGGACCAUCCUCCAAGGCUAAAUACUCCUGACUGACCGAUAGUGAACCAGUACCGUGAGGGAAAGGCGAAAAGAACCCCGGCGAGGGGAGUGAAAAAGAACCUGAAACCGUGUACGUACAAGCAGUGGGAGCACGCUUAGGCGUGUGACUGCGUACCUUUUGUAUAAUGGGUCAGCGACUUAUAUUCUGUAGCAAGGUUAACCGAAUAGGGGAGCCGAAGGGAAACCGAGUCUUAACUGGGCGUUAAGUUGCAGGGUAUAGACCCGAAACCCGGUGAUCUAGCCAUGGGCAGGUUGAAGGUUGGGUAACACUAACUGGAGGACCGAACCGACUAAUGUUGAAAAAUUAGCGGAUGACUUGUGGCUGGGGGUGAAAGGCCAAUCAAACCGGGAGAUAGCUGGUUCUCCCCGAAAGCUAUUUAGGUAGCGCCUCGUGAAUUCAUCUCCGGGGGUAGAGCACUGUUUCGGCAAGGGGGUCAUCCCGACUUACCAACCCGAUGCAAACUGCGAAUACCGGAGAAUGUUAUCACGGGAGACACACGGCGGGUGCUAACGUCCGUCGUGAAGAGGGAAACAACCCAGACCGCCAGCUAAGGUCCCAAAGUCAUGGUUAAGUGGGAAACGAUGUGGGAAGGCCCAGACAGCCAGGAUGUUGGCUUAGAAGCAGCCAUCAUUUAAAGAAAGCGUAAUAGCUCACUGGUCGAGUCGGCCUGCGCGGAAGAUGUAACGGGGCUAAACCAUGCACCGAAGCUGCGGCAGCGACGCUUAUGCGUUGUUGGGUAGGGGAGCGUUCUGUAAGCCUGCGAAGGUGUGCUGUGAGGCAUGCUGGAGGUAUCAGAAGUGCGAAUGCUGACAUAAGUAACGAUAAAGCGGGUGAAAAGCCCGCUCGCCGGAAGACCAAGGGUUCCUGUCCAACGUUAAUCGGGGCAGGGUGAGUCGACCCCUAAGGCGAGGCCGAAAGGCGUAGUCGAUGGGAAACAGGUUAAUAUUCCUGUACUUGGUGUUACUGCGAAGGGGGGACGGAGAAGGCUAUGUUGGCCGGGCGACGGUUGUCCCGGUUUAAGCGUGUAGGCUGGUUUUCCAGGCAAAUCCGGAAAAUCAAGGCUGAGGCGUGAUGACGAGGCACUACGGUGCUGAAGCAACAAAUGCCCUGCUUCCAGGAAAAGCCUCUAAGCAUCAGGUAACAUCAAAUCGUACCCCAAACCGACACAGGUGGUCAGGUAGAGAAUACCAAGGCGCUUGAGAGAACUCGGGUGAAGGAACUAGGCAAAAUGGUGCCGUAACUUCGGGAGAAGGCACGCUGAUAUGUAGGUGAAGUCCCUCGCGGAUGGAGCUGAAAUCAGUCGAAGAUACCAGCUGGCUGCAACUGUUUAUUAAAAACACAGCACUGUGCAAACACGAAAGUGGACGUAUACGGUGUGACGCCUGCCCGGUGCCGGAAGGUUAAUUGAUGGGGUUAGCGCAAGCGAAGCUCUUGAUCGAAGCCCCGGUAAACGGCGGCCGUAACUAUAACGGUCCUAAGGUAGCGAAAUUCCUUGUCGGGUAAGUUCCGACCUGCACGAAUGGCGUAAUGAUGGCCAGGCUGUCUCCACCCGAGACUCAGUGAAAUUGAACUCGCUGUGAAGAUGCAGUGUACCCGCGGCAAGACGGAAAGACCCCGUGAACCUUUACUAUAGCUUGACACUGAACAUUGAGCCUUGAUGUGUAGGAUAGGUGGGAGGCUUUGAAGUGUGGACGCCAGUCUGCAUGGAGCCGACCUUGAAAUACCACCCUUUAAUGUUUGAUGUUCUAACGUUGACCCGUGAUCCGGGUUGCGGACAGUGUCUGGUGGGUAGUUUGACUGGGGCGGUCUCCUCCUAAAGAGUAACGGAGGAGCACGAAGGUUGGCUAAUCCUGGUCGGACAUCAGGAGGUUAGUGCAAUGGCAUAAGCCAGCUUGACUGCGAGCGUGACGGCGCGAGCAGGUGCGAAAGCAGGUCAUAGUGAUCCGGUGGUUCUGAAUGGAAGGGCCAUCGCUCAACGGAUAAAAGGUACUCCGGGGAUAACAGGCUGAUACCGCCCAAGAGUUCAUAUCGACGGCGGUGUUUGGCACCUCGAUGUCGGCUCAUCACAUCCUGGGGCUGAAGUAGGUCCCAAGGGUAUGGCUGUUCGCCAUUUAAAGUGGUACGCGAGCUGGGUUUAGAACGUCGUGAGACAGUUCGGUCCCUAUCUGCCGUGGGCGCUGGAGAACUGAGGGGGGCUGCUCCUAGUACGAGAGGACCGGAGUGGACGCAUCACUGGUGUUCGGGUUGUCAUGCCAAUGGCACUGCCCGGUAGCUAAAUGCGGAAGAGAUAAGUGCUGAAAGCAUCUAAGCACGAAACUUGCCCCGAGAUGAGUUCUCCCUGACUCCUUGAGAGUCCUGAAGGAACGUUGAAGACGACGACGUUGAUAGGCCGGAUGUGUAAGCGCAGCGAUGCGUUGAGCUAACCGGUACUAAUGAACCGUGAGGCUUAACCU
RNAcentral lists this ribosomal RNA (2901 nucleotides) under Escherichia coli. RNAcentral describes it as "23S ribosomal RNA". It matches the Rfam family "Bacterial large subunit ribosomal RNA". The record is from RNAcentral. Lineage: Bacteria; Pseudomonadati; Pseudomonadota; Gammaproteobacteria; Enterobacterales; Enterobacteriaceae.